UACAGAGGUCUCAAGCGUUGUUCGGAUUCAUUGGGCGUAAAGGGUGCGUAGGCGGCGCGGUAAGUCGGGUGUGAAAUCUCGGGGCUUAACUCCGAAACUGCAUUCGAUACUGCCGUGCUUGAGGACUGGAGAGGAGGCUGGAAUUUACGGUGUAGCGGUGAAAUGCGUAGAUAUCGUAAGGAAGACCAGUGGCGAAGGCAGGUCUCUGGACAGUUCCUGACGCUGAGGCACGAAGGUCAGGGGAGCAAACGGG
Molecule: ribosomal RNA, 253 nt
Filed under: uncultured bacterium
Lineage: Bacteria
Description: partial 16S ribosomal RNA
Rfam family: Bacterial small subunit ribosomal RNA
Source: RNAcentral